RNAcentral lists this ribosomal RNA (440 nucleotides) under uncultured bacterium. RNAcentral's name for it is "partial 16S ribosomal RNA". It matches the Rfam family "Bacterial small subunit ribosomal RNA", at positions 338 to 795 of the family's 1533-position model. The record is from RNAcentral.
CCUACGGGAGGCAGCAGUGGGGAAUAUUGCACAAUGGGGGAAACCCUGAUGCAGCGACGCCGCGUGAGUGAAGAAGUCUUUCGGUAUGUAAAGCUCUAUCAGCAGGGAAGAAAAUGACGGUACCUGACUAAGACGCCCCGGCUAACUACGUGCCAGCAGCCGCGGUACUACGUAGGGGGCAAGCGUUAUCCGGAUUUACUGGGUGUAAAGGGAGCGUAGACGGCGCGGCAAGUCUGAAGUGAAAGGCAGGGGCUUAACCCCUGAACUGCUUUGGAAACUGCCAUGCUAGAGUGCGGGAGAGGUAAGUGGAAUGCCUAGUGUAGCGGUGAAAUGCGUAGAUAUUAGGAGGAACACCAGUGGCGAAGGCGGCGUACUGGACAGUAACUGACGUUGAGGCUCGAAAGCGUGGGGAGCAAACAGGAUUAGAUACCCGUGUAGUC